GAUGAACGCUGGCGGCAGGCCUAACACAUGCAAGUCGAGGGAGAAGCCCUUUCGGGGGCAGAAACCGGCGCACGGGUGCGUAACGCGUAUGCAACCUACCUUUCACAGGGGGAUAGCCCGAAGAAAUUUGGAUUAAUACCCCAUAAUAUUAUUGGAUGGCAUCAUUUGAUAAUUAAAACUGCGGUGGUGAAAGAUGGGCAUGCGUCCUAUUAGCUAGUUGGAGUGGUAACGGCACCCCAAGGCUACGAUAGGUAGGGGUCCUGAGAGGGAGAUCCCCCACACUGGUACUGAGACAGGGACCAGACUCCUACGGGAGGCAGCAGUGAGGAAUAUUGGUCAAUGGUCGGAAGACUGAACCAGCCAUGCCGCGUGCAGGAAGAAUGCCUUAUGGGUUGUAAACUGCUUUUAGAUGGGAAGAAUAAGGCGUACGUGUACGUUGAUGACGGUACCAUAUGAAUAAGCAUCGGCUAACUCCGUG
RNAcentral lists this ribosomal RNA (478 nucleotides) under uncultured bacterium. RNAcentral describes it as "partial 16S ribosomal RNA". It matches the Rfam family "Bacterial small subunit ribosomal RNA", at positions 28 to 507 of the family's 1533-position model. The record is from RNAcentral.